Molecule: transfer RNA, 18 nt
Filed under: Croton poecilanthus
Lineage: Eukaryota; Viridiplantae; Streptophyta; Magnoliopsida; Malpighiales; Euphorbiaceae
Description: partial tRNA-His
Source: RNAcentral
CGGAUGUACCCAAGUGGA